This 120-nucleotide small RNA is filed under the name Streptococcus infantarius subsp. infantarius ATCC BAA-102. RNAcentral's name for it is "PyrR binding site". It matches the Rfam family "PyrR binding site". From Rfam's summary of the family: This family represents the PyrR binding site and terminator structure. This RNA structure is found upstream of a variety of genes involved in pyrimidine biosynthesis and transport. Lineage: Bacteria; Bacillati; Bacillota; Bacilli; Lactobacillales; Streptococcaceae. The record is from RNAcentral.
UUAUCCUUUAAUACUGUCCCGUGAGGCAGGCAAGGAGAGAACGGUAAAAGAAGCGUGCAACUGGUAUAGUUGUACCUAUAUUUUGUGGAAUCUCCUUGGUAACGAGGAGAUUUUUUGUAU